AGAGUUUGAUCAUGGCUCAGAACGAACGCUGGCGGCGUGCUUAACACAUGCAAGUCGAGUGCGCGUUCCGUAGCAAUACGGAAUGGCGCACGGCGCACGGGUGCGUAACACGUGGGUAACCUGCCCUUUGGUGGGGAAUAACUCCGCGAAAGCGGAGCUAAUUCCGCAUAAGAUCCGCAAGGAUGAAAGCCGAGAGGCGCCGAUGGAGGGGCCCGCGCACGAUUAGCUAGUUGGUAGGGUAACGGCCUACCAAGGCUUUGAUCGUUAGCUGGUCUGAGAGGAUGGCCAGCCACACUGGAACUGAGACACGGUCCAGACUCCUACGGGAGGCAGCAGUGGGGAAUCUUGCACAAUGGGCGAAAGCCUGAUGCAGCGACGCCGCGUGGGGGAUGAAGCAUUUCGGUGUGUAAACCCCUUUCGAUCCGGACGAAUGCCCGCAAGGGAUUGACGGUACGGAUAUAAGAAGCCCCGGCUAACUACGUGCCAGCAGCCGCGGUAAGACGUAGGGGGCCAGCGUUGUUCGGAAUUACUGGGUGUAAAGGGUUCGUAGGCGGUGCGGCAAGUUGGGAGUGAAAUCUCUGGGCUUAACCCAGAGGCUGCUUCCAAAACUGCUGUGCUUGAGUGUGGGAGAGGCGCGUGGAAUUGCAGGUGUAGCGGUGAAAUGCGUAGAUAUCAGGAGGAACACCGGUGGCGAAGGCGGCUUUCUGGACAGUAACUGACGCUGAGGCGCGAAAGCUAGGGGAGCAAACAGGAUUAGAUACCCUAGUAGUCC
Molecule: ribosomal RNA, 772 nt
Filed under: uncultured bacterium
Lineage: Bacteria
Description: bacterial SSU rRNA
Rfam family: Bacterial small subunit ribosomal RNA
Source: RNAcentral